CGGAGCUGAUGCAGCACGCCGCGUGAGUGAUGAAGGCCUUCGGGUUGUAAAGCUCUUUUGUCAGGGAAGAAACUGAUGGGGCCAAUAUCCCCGGCUAAUGACGGUACCUGAACAAUAAGCACCGGCUAACUACGUGCCAGCAGCCGCGGUAAUACGUAGGGUGCAAGCGUUAAUCGGAAUUACUGGGCGUAAAGCGUGCGCAGGCGGUUUUGUAAGUCUGACGUGAAAUCCCCGGGCUCAACCUGGGAAUUGCAUUGGAGACUGGUAGGCUUGAGUGUGGAAGAGGGGGGUGGAAUUCCACGUGUAGCAGUGAAAUGCGUAAAGAUGUGGAGGAACACCGAUGGUGAAGGCAGCCCCCUGGGUCAUGACUGACGCUCAUGCUCGAAAGCGUGGGGAGCAAACAGGAUUAGAUACCCUGGUAGUCCACGCCCUAAACGAUGUCUACUAGUUGUCGGGUCUUAAUUGACUUGUUAACCCAGCUAACGCGU
This 488-nucleotide ribosomal RNA is filed under the name uncultured bacterium. RNAcentral's name for it is "bacterial SSU rRNA". It matches the Rfam family "Bacterial small subunit ribosomal RNA", at positions 378 to 860 of the family's 1533-position model. The record is from RNAcentral.